RNAcentral lists this small RNA (203 nucleotides) under Paenibacillus sp. Its description in RNAcentral is "c-di-AMP sequence". It matches the Rfam family "c-di-AMP riboswitch aptamer (ydaO/yuaA leader)". From Rfam's summary of the family: This family represents a conserved RNA structure found upstream of the ydaO and yuaA genes in Bacillus subtilis and related genes in other bacteria. The ydaO/yuaA element is thought to act as a genetic "off" switch for the ydaO and yuaA genes in its native state. Lineage: Bacteria; Bacillati; Bacillota; Bacilli; Caryophanales; Paenibacillaceae. The record is from RNAcentral.
UGAAUAGAACAGCCGAAUUUCCUAUGGAAAACGGGGGAACCAUAAAGCUGUCAAUAUCGAUGAACCUGCUGUAAGCAGGAGGUUCGCAUUUGGCGGCAUGGGGUGAAUUUUAGCGUUGGAGCAUCUUCUCCAGCCGCCGAAUAGGGCUGCCUGUCCAGGCCCGAAUCCGUCAGCUAACCUCGUAGGCGUACUGGAACAGGACU